UACGUAGGGGGCGAGCGUUGUCCGGAGUUACUGGGCGUAAAGCGCACGCAGGCGGUCUGCUAAGUUUGGAGUGACAGUUGGUGGCUUAACUGCCAAAGUGCUUCGAAAACUGACAGACUUGAGGGCUUCAGAGGGACACGGAAUUCCGGGUGGAGUGGUGAAAUGCGUAGAGAUCCGGAGGAACACCAAAGGCGAAGGCAGUGUCCUGGGGAGUACCUGACGCUGUGGCGCGAAAGCUAGGGGAGCAAACGGG
This 253-nucleotide ribosomal RNA is filed under the name uncultured bacterium. RNAcentral describes it as "partial 16S ribosomal RNA". It matches the Rfam family "Bacterial small subunit ribosomal RNA", at positions 524 to 776 of the family's 1533-position model. The record is from RNAcentral.